Molecule: unclassified non-coding RNA, 939 nt
Filed under: Hevea brasiliensis (rubber tree)
Lineage: Eukaryota; Viridiplantae; Streptophyta; Magnoliopsida; Malpighiales; Euphorbiaceae
Source: RNAcentral
AAACACAUGACACAGUUUUGAGACAAGAAAUAUCAGAUAAGCUUCAAAAAUAAAAUUUCCAUCCAACAGCUCUCCAGGUAAAAAAGACUGUCACUGAAUCAAAAAAUUGAAAAAAGCACACAAAACUAACCAAUGAGGCAGCUCCCCGUAGAGUUCAUUAAGUACAAACAUGCACAGAGCUCUUAUUGAACAGCAAAAAUCUCUCCAUAUGAUAAUAUUAUCCAUCUAUAUUUGACAACAAACGUCACUAAUAAAAGCUGACCUCCACAUCAGAAUAUAAUAUCAUCAUCUUUCUGUGAAGCAUGGGACAGUAAGUUAUGGGCUGAACCAAGCGAAAUACCUCUCUUCAAAGAAAAUUCUUCAGCAGACUUCUCCGCUGCAUAUAGCCUAGCAGCGGCCAUCUGUUUCUCUACCUCCCUCUUCUUGUAACCUUGUAUUUUCUUCAAACGGAAGAAGUCUUCCCUUUCCAGUUCAUCAAGUUCCCCCUUGAUGUAAAGAACUGUGUUCUCCAACCGAGGCUUCACAACAUUCUCCAAGGCAUUGACCCUCCGAUUUGUUGUCUUGAUUGCUUCAUCGAGAGUCAAGAAUGAUGUUUGCAGUGACGCAAGCUCAACAAGUAAUUCAAUAGAUUUCACGUAAGCAGCACGGCAGGCUUGUACCUGUUGCCCACCUCUAGCUAAUCCAGUCAGGUCAUUCUUGGUCUCUCCUUCAGAAAAGUGCUCAAACUUGGGGAGCUUCACCCCAGCAAUAUUUUCCUGCCGUGAUCGAACUUUCAGAGUAGCAGUCUGGACAUUUUCAAGGACAACGUGCUUGAUGUUCUCACCAGCAGCAUAUUUGGCCUCUGUCAGAGCAAAUGAGGAAUUUUUCAUGACAUCUCCCAUCGAUUCCUUUGUUGAUACUAUUUUCUUUAAAAUCUGACGGAACUGCACAGUCAAAGCA